CAACCCUCAAGCACUGCUUGGCGUUGGGGCGCUACGCGCUGAGCGUAGGCCCCUAAAAUCAGUGGCGGGCCCGCCGUGGCUCCGGGCGUAGUAGCAACACCUCGCCCCGGGACUGCGGCGCGCUCCGGCCGUUAAACCCCCACACCAUACUGAAGG
RNAcentral lists this unclassified non-coding RNA (156 nucleotides) under uncultured Sordariales. RNAcentral describes it as "sequence contains ITS2". The record is from RNAcentral. Lineage: Eukaryota; Fungi; Ascomycota; Sordariomycetes; Sordariales.